AUUGAACGCUGGCGGCAUGCCUUACACAUGCAAGUCGAACGGUAACGGGCCUUCGGGUGCCGACGAGUGGCGAACGGGUGAGUAAUACAUCGGAACGUGCCCGAUCGUGGGGGAUAACGAGGCGAAAGCUUUGCUAAUACCGCAUACGAUCUACGGAUGAAAGCAGGGGACCGCAAGGCCUUGCGCGGACGGAGCGGCCGAUGGCUGAUUAGGUAGUUGGUGGGAUAAAAGCUUACCAAGCCGACGAUCUGUAGCUGGUCUGAGAGGAUGAUCAGCCACACUGGGACUGAGACACGGCCCAGACUCCUACGGGAGGCAGCAGUGGGGAAUUUUGGACAAUGGGCGCAAGCCUGAUCCAGCCAUGCCGCGUGCAGGAUGAAGGCCUUCGGGUUGUAAACUGCUUUUGUACGGAACGAAAAGCCUUCUUUUAAUACAGGAGGGUCAUGACGGUACCGUAAGAAUAAGCACCGGCUAACUACGUG
This 482-nucleotide ribosomal RNA is filed under the name uncultured bacterium. RNAcentral describes it as "partial 16S ribosomal RNA". It matches the Rfam family "Bacterial small subunit ribosomal RNA", at positions 30 to 507 of the family's 1533-position model. The record is from RNAcentral.